GUAACUUUUAAACUAGUCCAGAGAGGCUAGCAAGGUUGAAAUCAGGAAAAACUAAUUUUAUUUUACUGACAGGAUUUUCUGUCAGUAAAAAUGAACUUGUUUUGAUACUUUUUACACUUGCUAAGUCUCUUGGUAAGUGUUUUUUAUU
Lactococcus lactis is the source of this 148-nucleotide non-coding RNA. The record is from Rfam. NCBI's taxonomy places the organism in Bacteria, Bacillati, Bacillota, Bacilli, Lactobacillales, Streptococcaceae.